UACGUAUGGUGCUAGCGUUGUUCGGAUUUACUGGGCGUAAAGCGCGUGCAGGCGGGCUAUUAAGUCAGGUGUGAAAUCUUUGGGCUCAACCCGAAGACUGCACUUGAAACUAACAGUCUAGAGUCCCGGAGAGGCAGGCAGAAUUCCUGGUGUAGCGGUGAAAUGCGUAGAUAUCAGGAGGAAUACCAAUGGCGAAGGCAGCCUGCUGGACGGUGACUGACGCUCAUACGCGAAAGCGUGGGGAGCAAACAGG
This 253-nucleotide ribosomal RNA is filed under the name uncultured bacterium. Its description in RNAcentral is "partial 16S ribosomal RNA". It matches the Rfam family "Bacterial small subunit ribosomal RNA", at positions 524 to 776 of the family's 1533-position model. The record is from RNAcentral.